RNAcentral lists this small RNA (148 nucleotides) under Pongo abelii (Sumatran orangutan). RNAcentral describes it as "Metazoan signal recognition particle RNA (ENSPPYG00000035409.1)". Lineage: Eukaryota; Metazoa; Chordata; Mammalia; Primates; Hominidae. The record is from Rfam by way of RNAcentral.
GCCAGGUGUGGUGGUGCAUGCCUGUAGUCCCAGCUACUCGGGAGGCUGAGGCAGGAGAAUUGCUUGAACCCAGGAGGCAGAGGUUGCAGUGAGCUGAGAUCUCGCCACUGCACUCCAGCCUGGGUGACAGAGCGAGACUCUGUCUCAA